ACGACACCUCCCGAUUCCUCAGAGAGGGUAAGGGGAAGAAAAAAAUGCUGAUGUUUUGGGCUUGGGAGGGAAGCCGGUAGUCAGUCAACAAACAUUUGGAACAGUCUCGCGUCUGGUUGAAAGUAAUUUAACUGUAUUUUGUCAGCCAAGGAGAAUGAAACAAAAGAUGAACAGAAUGAAUGGAUUUAUCAAAAUGGGAGGAAGUCAAACAUUCCUUGGAAAGAAUUCAUCUUUUUAAAUAAAAAAGAUAUCAGGAGUGACUUACCAGAAAGUACGGUAUUGGCAUACAAAUCUUUACGAAUGUCCACAUCACAUUUCAUAAUAGAGUUGUAAGUGGUUUCAUGGAUGCCACAGGACUCCAUACCCAAGAAUGAAGGCUGGAAGAGGGCUUCUGGGCAACGGAACCUCUCGUUACCAAUGGUGAUUACCUGUCCAUCGGGCAAUUCAUAAGACUUUUCUAAAGAGGAAGAUGAAGCAGCAGUGGCCAUCUCCUGCUCAAAGUCCAGGGCGACAUAACAUAACUUCUCCUUGAUGUCUCGGACAAUUUCUCU
Molecule: long non-coding RNA, 551 nt
Organism: Argiope bruennichi
Lineage: Eukaryota; Metazoa; Arthropoda; Arachnida; Araneae; Araneidae
Exons: 2
Source: RefSeq, a predicted model, not a curated record